ACACUCUCUACAAGGGUAAAGCAAACUGGGAGGUGCUGGUUCUGGCUCCAGAGGGACUGGGGUCUGGGGCCUGUCACCUGGUCCUGCCUGUGUUUCCUGGGAGGAGGACCUGGUUGAUAGAAGAAUUUAUCUCGUAGUCUUAACAUCCACUGUAAUUCCAAACUUUGAGGACGAUAGAGAUCAGUGGGCUUUGACUGCCCAGCAUGCAGUCUCCAUUCUUAGGUGGGUUCCCAAGCCUGUAAAAUGUAAGCCUUAUGCUGCUGAGGGCCAUCUUGCCACCCUGAGGGAAACGCUGCCUGAGAAUGAAACAAGCAUAAGUAAAAGCUGAGCUGUGAGAUGGAGCAAGAUGAAGGCCACAUGACAUCUUUGGAGCACCUGGAUCUAACUGUGCCUUAAGCUAGUCUAACCCUGAACAUUUCAUCAUUUCAUUGACAUGAGCCCAGGUUUUCUUUUUUUUUGGAUGGAGUCUUGCUCUGUCGCCCAGGCUGGAGUGCAGUAGCUCAAUCUCGGCUCACUGCAA
This 520-nucleotide long non-coding RNA is filed under the name Homo sapiens (human). Its description in RNAcentral is "non-protein coding PCBP1-AS1:301". Lineage: Eukaryota; Metazoa; Chordata; Mammalia; Primates; Hominidae. The record is from RNAcentral.